This 253-nucleotide ribosomal RNA is filed under the name uncultured bacterium. Its description in RNAcentral is "partial 16S ribosomal RNA". It matches the Rfam family "Bacterial small subunit ribosomal RNA", at positions 524 to 776 of the family's 1533-position model. The record is from RNAcentral.
UACGUAGGGUGCGGGCGUUGUCCGGAAUUAUUGGGCGUAAAGAGCUCGUAGGCGGUUUGUCACGUCUGCUGUGAAAUCCCGAGGCUCAACCUCGGGCCUGCAGUGGGUACGGGCAGACUGGAGUGCGGUAGGGGAGAAUGGAAUUCCUGGUGUAGCGGUGGAAUGCGUAGAGAUCCGGAGGAAUACCAGAGGCGAAGGCGGCCAACUGGGCUUGUUCUGACGCUGAGGUGCGAAAGCGUGGGGAGCGAACAGG